CAUGAUAAAAGUUCUUAUUACUAUUUUGAGUAGUCCCGUGUUAAAUGUCCAUUUUUUUAAUAACUAAACUUUUACACAUAUUUUCCUAUUAUACCUGUAGCAUUAAAUAUCUCAUACUUUUCUUAUUCUAAUUCUAUCUCCAUAUUUAAUGACAUUAUUAUGGGCAAUUUUGUCAUUUCAUUCAUCUUCUUAAUAUGCGUGAAAAGUCCACUAGGACUUUUAUCUUGAGACGGAGAGAGUAAUAAAUAAGGUAAAUUUCACUUUAGUACUUGAGGUUUACACAUUUUUCAACAUGACCACCUGAGUUUUAAAAGUCGACACUUAAACACCUAUAAUAUUAAAACUAAGUGAAACUAUUACAUUUUUCAUCCAAAUUAAC
RNAcentral lists this long non-coding RNA (379 nucleotides) under Panax ginseng (ginseng). RNAcentral's name for it is "long non-coding RNA (PGIN_LNC006997)". Lineage: Eukaryota; Viridiplantae; Streptophyta; Magnoliopsida; Apiales; Araliaceae. The record is from RNAcentral.